RNAcentral lists this ribosomal RNA (467 nucleotides) under uncultured bacterium. Its description in RNAcentral is "partial 16S ribosomal RNA". It matches the Rfam family "Bacterial small subunit ribosomal RNA", at positions 28 to 506 of the family's 1533-position model. The record is from RNAcentral.
GACGAACGCUGGCGGCGUGCUUAACACAUGCAAGUCGAACGGAAAGGCCCUGCUUUUGUGGGGUGCUCGAGUGGCGAACGGGUGAGUAACACGUGAGUAACCUGCCCUUGACUUUGGGAUAACUUCAGGAAACUGGGGCUAAUACCGGAUAGGAGCUCCUGCUGCAUGGUGGGGGUUGGAAAGUUUCGGCGGUUGGGGAUGGACUCGCGGCUUAUCAGCUUGUUGGUGGGGUAGUGGCUUACCAAGGCUUUGACGGGUAGCCGGCCUGAGAGGGUGACCGGCCACAUUGGGACGGAGAUACGGCCCAGACUCCUACGGGAGGCAGCAGUGGGGAAUAUUGCACAAUGGGCGGAAGCAUGAUGCAGCAACGCCGCGUGCGGGAUGACGGCCUUCGGGUGGUAAACCGCUUUCGCCUGUGACGAAGCGUGAGUGACGGUAAUGGGUAAAGAAGCACCGGCUAACUACGU